Cimex lectularius (bed bug) is the source of this 4489-nucleotide long non-coding RNA. RefSeq lists it as uncharacterized. NCBI's taxonomy places the organism in Eukaryota, Metazoa, Arthropoda, Insecta, Hemiptera, Cimicidae. The transcript is spliced from 2 exons. The record is from RefSeq and is a predicted model, not a curated record.
CAUAUAUAGUUUAAAUAUAGUAUUUUAUAUUCAUAAAAACUCUUUGAUUUCACUGAACAAAAAAAAACCCACUUACUCUUUAUUUGACUGGAUUGAAAUUUCAUUUAUCAUUGACAUUUCUUUCAGUGUUCAAAAAUAAACAAUAAACUGCACGUUUUAGAGUGAUACACUAAUCGCUUUUGUUUUAUAGUUUUGUUUUUAUUUUCCCAGACAUUUUUGCACUGAAUCACCACUUGAUUAUUUUAUUAAACAUGUUCUUAAAAGCAUUUUUAGCAUGCCCAUACAAAUGUUAAGUCCACUUGCCUCUGACCUGAAUUUCAGAAGCCCACAAGGUAUAACACAUCCCAAACAAAUUGGCGAUUUCAAGUAAAUGGAGUUUCACCUGACUUUCCGUUAUGGGGGGAAGACUAAUUAAUCAAUAAAAUUUCUUUUGUAACAAUUUUCAAAAAAGUUGACUAUACUCUGCCUAAUUGACUAGAGGCUUUAUUUAAUUUUAUACAAUUCAAUUACCAUUGUAAAUAAGGGGAAGACUUGAUAAAAAGUAGAACUAUCCUGUAUUUAUUUUAUUUAUUUAUUUUUUUAAACAAUCUUAUAAUUGUUCAAUUUUAUGGUUCUAAACAAUAUUUUCCUUGGUUUUGCUAACCUUGGAUAAUCGGAGUUCUACUACGUCUUCAAUGAGUUACGUAUUCUCUAAUUUUUAUUUCAAAGCAGACUUGACAAGUGACUCGUAAAUUUGAUCAAUUUCCUCUUCAUAGAAUACAUUGCUUGAAAUUUUAUUUUGACUGGGGUAAAAAUUUGCGAGCCACUGUUUGUUAUUUCCCAUAUUAUUAUUAUGUUUAUUUUAAUUAUUUUGUCAAGAGUAGUUUUAGUUUAUAAAAUUUUCCAAGGAUAAGAGAUUAAAUUUGUUCAUUGAAGCACUCCUCCAAUUAUCCAUGUAUGAAAUGUAAUAUUGUAAAAACCUCCUGAGGAGCAAUUUAGCAUUUCUAGUUGUUUGGAGCCCUUUAAACAGAGGACUUUCUCUCAAUUCUAAUUAUUUAUUUUUUGUUUUACCUUGAAAUUAUGACCAUAUCUUAAUUAAAUGCCCCAUUGUAGAUUGUGAAUCAUUCAUCUAUCCUCACCUAAACGAAAAUUAUUGUUUAACCAAUUAUGGAAAUGCUUGAAAUCAAGCUGAUAUGUGUUAACCGACCAAAACGCCAAAUGUCUAAAAGUUAAGUUUGUUAAGCCCUAUUUAUUUUGAUUUAUCAGCAUAAAUGUUUUUGAAAACCCAUAGAAGUUCCAGCCCAGGUAAAACUAUUUUUAAAUUUACAAAAACAAAUUCCAAAAUUUUCUAAAAGGUAGAAGAAAAUACCUUUUAGCCCAGGUAAACCAUCCUCCCAGGGGAAAUAGUCCAGCAGCCCAGUAUUUCAAGCCCAAAGAGGAAUAAGGUAAAAACAAAAGUUCCAGAAAUAUUUGAACAAAUAAAUUUAAAAAAAAAAACCAUCAAUCAUUGUCCAGACCCGAAGCCCUCCAAGCCUUGAAGAUGUCAUCCAAAAGGUAAUUCACUGAAUAGCCUUUAAAACGGUUCCUACCACCGAAACUGUAGGUAUCAUGUAUUAUUUUAAUUGCACCCUUAUUCAGACAAGCAAACUUCGCUUACUGAAUUACUAAGGGGGUUUGAGUGGACAAGUAUACAAUAGAAAUUGGGAAUCCAAUCGAGAUAUUCCUCAAAAAAUUUGCAUUUAGGCCAGAUGAAACCUUGAAACUCAUGGCUUCUGCUCUGCUCUUGCUCUCAUGCAAGUCCAAAUGUUUAGUCUACAAUUUGGACCCUUUAAAAAAAAAUAAAAAUUUUAAAAACUACUGCCUGCUUUUCAACUAAACCAUUUGCAUUGUUCUACCUAUCGGUGGUCGUAUUAAUACUUUUAUCCCCUUAUGUUCUGCGAAUAAAAUCAAUUCUUGGUUUCUUAUCUUUAUUACCCUCGUUCCCCCUUGCUCUGAAAGCGCUUAACGAUCAAUUUAUUAUUGCUGCAUCAGUAGAAUGAUAAGUUUUGUUUUAUCACGAUUUAUACCGGCUAGGAAAACUUCCUUUUGUUUAUCUUUUUAUGUUAUGUGGUCUGAUUGAGUUGUUCAGUGCAGUCAAAUAAUUAUUCAAAAUUUAAUUGCGAAUUUGUAGUCAAACAUUUAUUAUUUUUAAAUAUAUUUAGAUGUUCUACAUUUAUAAAACAUCUGUUUAGGCUGCUUAGUAUCAAAAGAUUUUGCAUUCAAUGAAAUCCUUACGAGGAUUAAACAUAUUUUAAUUAUGUAUUUUAACAUAUUAACAUUGAAAUAAUUUUCAUAUAUUGUAUUUUUUCAAAUUAAAUAAAAUCUGUAUGUUGUCUAAAAAGUGCUUGUUAAAAUAAUACAGGUUGUGCAUAUCACGUUUGGCCCUUAAUGGCUUAUUUUUUUCAAACAAGCUUUUCAAUUGUCAUUCGGUACAUGCUGUAUUUUUGCCACUACCAUUUAUACCCUGCCCCCUUCUAGGGUGAUUCUAAAGCCUUGCUGACUACCUCGCUUAUCAAUUUAUUGAUUAAUAUCAAGUUAAUUUUAAUAUGGUGUUAAGUGCAUGGACAAGGAAAAUGGCAAAAAAAAGAACACGAUAUGAUUUUAUAACUUGUGUUCCAAAGGAAUUUUUAGAGGUCUUCUAAAAAAUGUAUUUUUGAGUUGAAUUCAAAUAAUUAGUUAUUUAUUGUAGUAGAGCCUUAAUUUUUAUAUCAGGUCAUCAAUGUUUUCAUGUUUUUGCAGAUUUUCUUCAAGCAGUUUCAGAUUUUGUAGGCACUUCAUUCGGAUUAGAAAAAUCAGUUAUAAUAUAGAGAAAGGAAACAUGAGGACAGCUUUCUGUUUAGUAAAACAUUUGUCAUUGUUGUAUAGCAGGACAAUUUUAGUAAGGCAAUAAAAAAAUUAAAAAAAUACAUUUGUAUAAAAAAAAGUAGGCUGUUUUGGUGGAGCAAUGCAUUUUUCAGACGUUUGAGAUGGCGUUUGCAGGCAGUUUUUUCAGGCUCUUGCGGCCCACUGAGCAGAAGGGCCGAGCGGAAGCAGUAAAAUUUGUAAUUUUGAGGGAAGUGAGUUUUUCAAAAGUGGUGAAUUUAUGGAGCAAACUGGGUAAAAAAUAAAUAAACAGAAAAAAAAUAAUAUUCCAUGGUGUAAGCAAACAGGAAGAAAAAUUUGGUGGAGGGCAACAGUAGAUAUCUAACAUCUGGAAUUAAUUGACAUACUAAAUUAUUUAUUCUUAAAGAUGUAUAAAGAGGGUUACGAUAAGCUUAAACUUACAUGCAUGCAAUAUAGUUGUUCUAUUAUAAGGUAAGUGUCUGUGUAUAAUAGAAAUGUACAGGUGAUAAAAGUCAUACAGAAUUGAUUAAAUAAACUGAAUAUUUGACUUACAGGUUUUUUUUGAACGAAUCAUUUAAUUUCUAUUGAUAAAGAAACUUUCAUAACAUGAGAGGUGAUCUGACAAUUUAAAAAAAGUAUUACUGAUUGUACAUUUCACUAAUGUUUAGAUACUGAAACAAAAAGUUAUGAACAUUUGGAUAACUAGCAGAACCAAAAGCUAAUGAAUAAUUAAACUGAUCUUACGAUCACGUCAACAGCAGUAUAUUUGAUUAAAUAAAAGUAAUUUUUAAAAUAUGAGGGGAAAUAAGUUAUCAAGUUCUGUUUUUGGUGGGUAUUUCCUUCAAGUGCAAUUAUGAUAUUUAUUUGGGGUACCAGGUAAAUCGGUUAAAAACUCAGUUUUAUUCCCAUCACAUGAAAGUAUGAAAAGAUUCUUCUUAAAAGAAUGUUACCAAAAAUCAAACUUAUCUAACCUUCCUUCUACCAGAUUAGUUCAGCGUUUAUUUACCACAGUCCAACAAGUGUAGCAUUGGGACUCCUGCACAAAUAGAUGUCCUUCCAAAUAUUCCUCUACCCUUGUCUGUCAGAACAGUUCAUGAGGUACUGGCGAGGAUCAUCUUGGCCCUAGAAAUAUUACAAGGCUUAUUUAGAUCAACAUUUCAUAUCGCAAAUCGCUUCACCAAUGGCAGAGCAUCCUCUGGCCCCUUUAACUUAUUUUGGAGGAUGUGCAGAGACAUAUCUCAUAUAUAGCAGAUUGGUAUUGACAAUGGAAAAUGAAGCCCAAUAAAAGCAAGUAUGUCCAUGUUACAUACUUUGAAGCAAAUCUACAACAAUGUUCUACCCCUUAGAGUAGUUCUAAUCAGCAUACAUGACAAACAAAAAGGCUUAAAUAGACAUAGAGUAUGUAACUAGGGAACCCCUUUACCCAGCAGUCUUUGGUUUCAUUCCCACUAUCGUCUCUAAAUUUUCUGACCUGUAAGUGAAGCAAAAAGUUGACACUUGGCCAUCGAAUCUCGACGCCCCUGAAUCAAAACGGGUUUCUCAAGGAAGAAUACAGUCUCUGAAAUACAUCUAGGAAGUGGAUACAAUAAGCAUGGUACAGGCUGCAGUACCCCAGGGUUCCACUUCCGAUUUCUAGAAAUCUAUUCCC